This 443-nucleotide ribosomal RNA is filed under the name uncultured bacterium. Its description in RNAcentral is "bacterial SSU rRNA". It matches the Rfam family "Bacterial small subunit ribosomal RNA", at positions 8 to 438 of the family's 1533-position model. The record is from RNAcentral.
AGAGUUUGAUCAUGGCUCAGAAUGAACGCUGGCGGCGUGCUUAACACAUGCAAGUCGUGCGCGAAGGUGGCUUCGGCCACCGGAGAGCGGCGAACGGGUGAGUAACACGUGGGUGAUCUGCCUGGAAGCGGGGGAUAACCUGGGGAAACUCGGGCUAACACCGCAUACGUUCAUGGGGUUACGGCCUUAUGAAGAAAACCGGCCUCUACUUGUAAGCUGGUGCUUCCAGAGGAGCCCGCGGCUGAUUAGCUAGUUGGUAGGGUAAAAGCCUACCAAGGCGACGAUCAGUAGCCGGCCUGAGAGGGUGAUCGGCCACACUGGGACUGAGACACGGCCCAGACUCCUACGGGAGGCAGCAGUGGGGAAUAUUGGACAAUGGGCGCAAGCCUGAUCCAGCAACGCCGCGUGGAGGACGAAGGUCUUCGGAUCGUAAACUCCUGUCA